Molecule: long non-coding RNA, 2329 nt
Organism: Myiozetetes cayanensis
Lineage: Eukaryota; Metazoa; Chordata; Aves; Passeriformes; Tyrannidae
Exons: 5
Source: RefSeq, a predicted model, not a curated record
GGGGGGCUGGGAGGGGUUGGUGGCCCCCCCCGGUGACAAAGGGGACAACGGAGGGGACCCCCCUGGGGACAGUGAGGUGACACCAGCGAGGACCACGAGGACGGGGGGCACCUGAGGUGACAACGGGGACAACGAGGAGAGGAGGGUGGCACCUGAGGUGGCACUGAGGUGACAACGAGGACAAGGAGAGGUCCCUGUGAGGUGACAUCAUGGAGGAUAAGGAGAGGUGGCACCUGAGGUGGCACUGAGGUGACAGCAAGGACAAGGACAGGUCCUGUGAGGUGACACCAUGGAGGACAAGGAGAGGUGGCACCUGAGGUGACAACGAGGACAAGGACAGGUCCCCAUGAGGUGACACCAGCGAGGACAAGGAGAGGUGGCACCUGAGGUGACAACGAGGACAAGGACAGGUCCCCAUGAGGUGACACCAUGGAGGACAAGGAGAGGUGGCACCUGAGGUGACAACGAGGACAAGGAGAGGUCCCCAUGAGGUGACACCAUGGAGGAUGAGGAGAGGUGGCACCUGAGGGGACAGCAAGGACAAGGACAGGUCCCCAUGAGGUGACACCAUGGAGGAUGAGGAGAGGUGGCACCUGAGGUGACAACGGGGACAACGAGGACAAGGACAGGUCCCUGUGAGGCAACACCAGCGAGGACAAGGAGAGGUGGCACCUGAGGUGACAACGGGGACAGCAAGGACAAGGAGAGGUCCCCAUGAGGUGACACCAUGGAGGAUGAGGAGAGGUGGCACCUGAGGUGACAACGGGGACAACGAGGACAAGGUGGCACCUGUGGGGACAAGGACAAGGACACAGGAGGUGUCACCAGGAGGUGACAACGGGGACAAGGACAAGGUGGCACCUGUGGGGACAAGGACAAGGACACAGGAGGUGUCACCAGGAGGUGACAGCAGGGAGAAGGACGUCACCUGGGUGACACUGAGGACAAGGACACGUCCCCAUGAGGUGGCACCCACAAGGACGAGGACAGGCCCUGGUGGCACCUGCGGUGACAACGAGGGCCAGGAGGUGUCCCCAAGGCACCUACAGUGACACCAGCCAGGACAAGGACAGGUGGCACCUGCAGUGACAACGGGGACAAUGAGGAGAGGUCCCCAUGAGGUGACACCUCUGGUGACAACGGGGACAAUGAGGAGAGGUCCCCAUGAGGUGACACCAGCAGGGACAAGGACAGGUGGCACCUCUGGUGACAACAGGGACAAUGAGGAGAGGUCCCCAUGAGGUGACACCAGCAGGGACAAGUGGCAUCACCCCCGGGCCGAGGGUGGCACUGAGGCCACCAGCACAGCCCUGGGGACAACCUGGGGUGUCCCUGAGCCCGAGGGUGACACUGAGACCCCAUAGGUGACACCGUGACCCUUGGGUGACACCGUGGCCCUGUAGAUGACACUGUGACCCUGUAGGUGACACUGUGACACUCUAGGUGACACUGUGACCCCAUGGGUGACACCAUGUCCCCGUGGGUGACACUGUGACCCUGUAGGUGACACUGUGACCCUGUGGGUGACAUCACAUCACUGUGGGUGAUACUGAGACCCCGUGGGUGACACUGUGACCCUGCGGGUGACACUGUGACCCCACAGGUGACACUGUGAUCCCAGGGGUAACCCUGUGACCCCGUAGGUGACACUGUGACUCUGUGGGUGACACUGGGACCCUGUAGGUGACAUCACAUCACUGUGGGUGACACUGUGACCCUGUAGGUGACACCGUGUCCCUUUAGAUGACACUGUGACCCUGGGGGUGACAUCACAUCACUGUGGGUGACACAGUGACCCUGUGGGUGACAACAGGUCCCUUCAGGUGACACUGUGACCCUGUGGGUGACAUCACAUCACUGUGGGUGACACUGUGACCCCGUGGGUGACACUGGGAGCCCACAGGUGACACUGUGACCCUGUGGGUGACACUGUGACCCCACAGGUGACAUCACAUCACUGUGGGUGACCCUGUGACCCUGUGGGUGACACCGUGACCCUGUAGGUGACACUGAGAGCCCACAGGUGACACUGUGACCCUGUAGGUGACAUCACCUCACUGUGGGUGACACUGGGACCCCACAGGUGACCCUGUGACCCUGUAGGUGACACUGUGACCCCACGGGUGACCCCACCGCCACGGAGGACACACCCAGUCCCCAAGGGUGACACUGUGACACCCCUCCCCCCCCCCCGAGGACACCACCGUGUCCCCUCCCCCCUUGGUGGCACCGCGGCCACGCCGGGGGUGGGGGAGGUGUGUGGGGAGUGGUGACACCGUGCCGGGUGUUGGGGACACUCCCGUCCCCUCCCAGGGGAUGGGCUGGCACC